AGCUCCAAUAGCGUAUAUUAAAGUUGUUGCGGUUAAAAAGCUCGUAGUUGGAUCUCGGCGGGCAGGGGGUGGUUCGCUCUUCAGCGCUACUGCCCCGCUUUGCCCGUGUGAUUGGCGGAGGUUUCGGGGUGCUCUUCGUUGAGUGACUCGGAGCGCCGUCAGGUUUACUUUGAAAAAAUUAGAGUGCUCAAAGCAGGCUUUUCACGCUUGAAUAUUCGUGCAUGGAAUAAUGGAAUAGGAACUCGUUUCUAUUUUGUUGGUUUUCGGAAAUCGAGGUAAUGAUUAACAGGGACAAUUGGGGGCAUUAGUAUUCAGACGACAGAGGUGACCGUCUGAAGACUGACAACUGCGAAAGCAUUUGCCAAGAGUGUUUUCA
This 376-nucleotide ribosomal RNA is filed under the name marine copepod environmental sample. RNAcentral's name for it is "SSU rRNA". It matches the Rfam family "Eukaryotic small subunit ribosomal RNA", at positions 587 to 972 of the family's 1831-position model. Lineage: Eukaryota; Metazoa; Arthropoda; Copepoda. The record is from RNAcentral.